AUACAGAGGGUGCAAGCGUUAAUCGGAUUUACUGGGCGUAAAGCGCGCGUAGGUGGCUAAUUAAGUCAAAUGUGAAAUCCCCGAGCUUAACUUGGGAAUUGCGUUCGAUACUGGUUAGCUAGAGUAUGGGAGAGGAUGGUAGAAUUCCAGGUGUAGCGGUGAAAUGCGUAGAGAUCUGGAGGAAUACCGAUGGCGAAGGCAGCCAUCUGGCCUAAUACUGACACUGAGGUGCGAAAGCAUGGGGAGCAAACAGGAUUAGAUACCCUGGUAGUCCAUGCCGUAAACGAUGUCUACUAGCCGUUGGGGCCCUUGAGGCUUUAGUGGCGCAGCUAACGCGAUAAGUAGACCGCCUGGGGAGUACGGUCGCAAGACUAAAACUCAAAUGAAUUGACGGGG
RNAcentral lists this ribosomal RNA (396 nucleotides) under uncultured bacterium. RNAcentral describes it as "partial 16S ribosomal RNA". It matches the Rfam family "Bacterial small subunit ribosomal RNA", at positions 523 to 918 of the family's 1533-position model. The record is from RNAcentral.